This 795-nucleotide long non-coding RNA is filed under the name Phasianus colchicus (ring-necked pheasant). RNAcentral's name for it is "lncRNA (ENSPCLG00000021414.1)". Lineage: Eukaryota; Metazoa; Chordata; Aves; Galliformes; Phasianidae. The record is from RNAcentral.
GGGGCGUUUGCAUGGCGUGUCCAACUUCUGACUGAAUACAGAGUACACAGGGCUCAGAUCAGCAGUGCUGAAAAUCUAAACUGCAUCCACUCAAGAAGCUUAUGGCAUUGUUUAUUCCAUCAGUUUCUAAGAUAUAAAAGAACCUGCAGUUUCAAAUGGAUCUUGUCAUCUUUUCAAAAUGAUUGUAUAGAUGAAAGGGAUGUAUGGUCUACCAACUCUGAGGAGCCCCUCACAGGUAUAAAGCACGGACAGUGAUCUUGGUCAUGGAAUGAUAGCCAGCAAUUUAAAGAAGAUUGCAAGUUAUUUUCCUCUUCCCAGCAAUUCGGAACAUUCUUUUGUCUAAACAGCAUUCCUGUGGUACCAGAUCCUGCACAAUGUUCAGACAUAAGCUCCAAAGGAGACAGGAGUUGGAAAGGCAGUGUGGCCAGUGAGCAGAGGCUGAGAGACAGAGCUACCAGAAAACAGGAAGACAAUGGCACUCACCAUGAUAAGCAAGUCUCAGCAUGUGAUGUGAAAUUAUUAGGUUUUUUAAACCAAUUUACCUAGUGAAUUAAACAGGUUAAAGUCGGCAUGUAUAUUGAUUUUGCUCAUUCUUACAAGAGAUCAAUUUAACCUAGGUUGAUGUUUCAGUUUUAAAACAAGUUAAGUGCGUCCACUCAGGAGUUUUGAACCACUUUAACUGAAUUUACCUUAAACUAAUUUGUUUUGAACUGAUAUAAUAUUUUGGACAGGAAACUCUGUAAAAGAUAUUAUAAAAGAAUGAAUAAAUUGGCUUUAAUACCAAAUUAAUGAUCA